Long non-coding RNA from Mercenaria mercenaria, 364 nucleotides. RefSeq lists it as uncharacterized. Lineage: Eukaryota; Metazoa; Mollusca; Bivalvia; Venerida; Veneridae. The transcript has 3 exons. The record is from RefSeq and is a predicted model, not a curated record.
AAUGUUCUAUAGUGAUUAUUGAAGUAGAGGUGAUUAAUGUUGUAGGGUGAUUAAUGUUGUAGAGGGUGAUUAAUGUGGUAGAGAGUGAUUAAUGUUGUAGGGUGAUUAAUGUGGUAGACAGUGAUUAAUGUUGUAGGGUGAUUAAUGUGGUAGAGAGUGAUUACUGAAGUAGAGGUGAUUAAUGUGGUAGAGAGUGAUUAAUGUUGUAGAGUGAUUAAUGUUGUAGGGUGAUUAAUGUGGUAGAGAGUGAUUAAUGUUGUAGGGUGAUUAAUGUGGUAGAGAGUGAUUACUGAAGUAGAGGUGAUUAAUGUGGUAGAGAGUGAUUAAUGUGGUAGAGUGAUUAAUGUGGUAGAGAGUGAUUAAU